GGACCCACAACAGCAAACUGUACAUCGGAUGGAACGUUGACUGCAACACCACAGUGCAAGAAUCUGGACUUUGAAUGUGAAGGGCAGAGGUUCAAAGUCGCUGUCAAUCUCACCCGUACUAGCUUUCGCAAGGCUCAGAGAUUCUGCAGGCAAAAUGAGAUGAAGUUGCUAAGAACUCGCUUGCACGAGAAAUUCACCCAGUGUUCCUCGUACAUGGAUGUACUGGGGCGUGCAGCUGUUGACACCGUCUGGAUGAGAACAGUUAGGACACGUUCAAGGUCGACCCCUUCGAUCAUGUAUGACAUCAUCAGUAGAGAGCUGAUGAGCGUGCCAGAUGCCACAGCAACGUUUGCCUUCAUAUGUACUCGCAGAGUAUAACUGGUCUGACUGCAAUCCCCUACGGACGUUGGAGGAGGAAAUAAGCUUGAUGGAGGGAGUACAACACGUAUACCGGGUCAAGGUGCUGAUGCAAGUGUCGCCAAGCCUGACAACCGUCUAAAAUCCGGUACCCCAGUGUCGGCAUGUGCAUCGACC
Long non-coding RNA from Sycon ciliatum, 534 nucleotides. RefSeq lists it as uncharacterized. NCBI's taxonomy places the organism in Eukaryota, Metazoa, Porifera, Calcarea, Leucosolenida, Sycettidae. The record is from RefSeq and is a predicted model, not a curated record. The transcript has 4 exons.